Dermacentor albipictus is the source of this 693-nucleotide non-coding RNA. The record is from RefSeq and is a predicted model, not a curated record. NCBI's taxonomy places the organism in Eukaryota, Metazoa, Arthropoda, Arachnida, Ixodida, Ixodidae.
GUCAGUAGUAUGACGCCAUUUUUCAAUUGUGUUGCAUCUCGCGCGAGUACGUUGUCGUCGAGUGGUGGUUCUUUAUUCUAUGGAGUGGUUCUGAAAGCGCUGCGUUAGGGGCGACUGCAACCAGGCGUUGCGGCAAGUUACGGUGGGAACUUCUGUCCGUGCUGUGUGAUUGCGACGAGGACGACUGCCGCCAGCAGCGGCGUGUCGCCGAUUUCGUCUUUGCCGACAUCGAGCAAGUGCAGCGCCGGAAGUGUUGCGUUUUGCACUGCAUUUUCCUUGUGAUAUGGGAGAUCGCAACGCAGAGACGACCAGAUGCACACGAAAGACUACCAGCGGAGAGUGACCUGUGCCAUAUUUCUCUUAACCUCUCAGGUAUUCAAGAAAUGGCAACAUCCAGAAGAAGACGCCAUCUUAUCCAGCACGUUAUGGGUACACUCUGGUGGCUCCCGCCCCUGCAUCCUACGACCACCGUGUCCUCACUAUGUUCACUAGGGAGUUCGAAGCCUUUGGCGGCUCCUGCCACUGCGUCCUGCCACCACCGUGUCCUGGCUACGUCCACUAGGGAGUUGGCAGCCUUCGUGAUGAUGCCAAGCAGGCUGGAAGCUGACAGAACGAUCGAGGUUGCCUCGAAAUUUUACCCAAGCCGUGCCACACACUUGGGCCAGGCCUCUUGCAAACGACGUAUAACCAGGC